GACGUAGGGCGCGAGCGUUGUCCGGAUUUAUUGGGCGUAAAGAGCUCGUAGGCGGCUUGUCGCGUCGUCCGUGAAAACUCACAGCUCAACUGUGAGCUUGCGGUCGAUACGGGCAGGCUAGAGUUCGGUAGGGGAGACUGGAAUUCCUGGUGUAGCGGUGGAAUGCGCAGAUAUCAGGAAGAACACCCGUGGCGAAGGCGGCUCUCUGGGACGGUACUGACGCUGAGACGCGAAAGCGUGGGGAGCGAACAGG
Molecule: ribosomal RNA, 253 nt
Filed under: uncultured bacterium
Lineage: Bacteria
Description: partial 16S ribosomal RNA
Rfam family: Bacterial small subunit ribosomal RNA
Source: RNAcentral